Molecule: ribosomal RNA, 132 nt
Filed under: Sarcocystis arieticanis
Lineage: Eukaryota; Apicomplexa; Conoidasida; Eucoccidiorida; Sarcocystidae
Description: partial 5.8S ribosomal RNA
Rfam family: 5.8S ribosomal RNA
About the family: 5.8S ribosomal RNA (5.8S rRNA) is a component of the large subunit of the eukaryotic ribosome.
Source: RNAcentral
ACAGGAAGACAAUUUUCAGCGAUGGACGUCUUGGCUCGCGCGACGAUGAAGGACGCAGUGAAAUGCGAGACGCAGUGUGAAUUGCAAAAUUCAGGGAAUCAUCAGAUUUCUGAACGCAAAUGGCACCUUGGC